Long non-coding RNA from Zerene cesonia (dogface butterfly), 477 nucleotides. RefSeq lists it as uncharacterized. The record is from RefSeq and is a predicted model, not a curated record. Lineage: Eukaryota; Metazoa; Arthropoda; Insecta; Lepidoptera; Pieridae. The transcript has 2 exons.
UAUGUCAAUAAAUAACAUAAGUAAUUCUUCAUUCUUACGUCAGUGGGUCAUUAAUUAUUAGCCGAGUAAUUUUGUGAUUUGAAGAUAUUAUUACGUACAGAGCAAAGAGUAGUUUAAAAUAAAAAUAAAUAUUACGGCACAGAUUAAUCGUUAUGUAAUUUUUGGAUGUGCCGCUUCUUUAUCAUUUAACAAAGUAUUAAGUAUUAAGAAAAACAGGAAUUGCUGUGAUGCAGAUACUGGAUGGAAAAUGUUGAUAUUGUUAUGUGUUCUAUAUAAUUUGUGUUGUAUGUAUAAUGAGAUAUUCAAGGAGUUGUUGUUGAGUAUGUGAAAAGAUAUUUAUGUUAUAAUUAUUCAUGUUCUAAUGAAUUCAUUUUUAUUAAAGAGAAAAAAGUAUGUUUGUGAUUUAAGUUGCAAUGAUUAUUUGAGACAAUGUAAGGCAAUUGUUCUAAAACAAUAUUACAUCAACUGUGUAUUCUA